Molecule: ribosomal RNA, 463 nt
Filed under: uncultured bacterium
Lineage: Bacteria
Description: partial 16S ribosomal RNA
Rfam family: Bacterial small subunit ribosomal RNA
Source: RNAcentral
GACGAACGCUGGCGGCGUGCUUAACACAUGCAAGUCGAGCGGAAAGGCCACUUCGGUGGUACUCGAGCGGCGAACGGGUGAGUAACACGUGAGUAAUCUGCCCCUCACUUUGGGAUAGCCACCGGAAACGGUGAUUAAUACCGGAUAUGACCAUAUGUCGCAUGGUGUGUGGUGGAAAGUUUUUCGGUGAGGGAUGUGCUCGCGGCCUAUCAGCUUGAUGGUGAGGUAAUGGCUCACCAUGGCUUCGACGGGUAGCCGGCCUGAGAGGGUGACCGGUCACACUGGGACUGAGACACGGCCCAGACUCCUACGGGAGGCAGCAGUGGGGAAUAUUGGACAAUGGGCGGAAGCCUGAUCCAGCAACGCCGCGUGAGGGAUGACGGCCUUCGGGUUGUAAACCUCUUUCAGUACCGACGAAGCGCAAGUGACGGUAGGUACAGAAGAAGCACCGGCCAACUACGUG